UCAGGUCACAUNCAAGUCGAGGGGCAGCACAGGAAGUAGCAAUACUGAUGUUGGCGACGGCGCACGGGUGAGUAACAAGUAUGCAACCUACCUUCCACAGGAGAAUAACCCCCGAAAAAAGGACUAAUAAUUCAUAAUACAGGGGUCCCGCAUGGGAAUAUUUGUUAAAAAUUUUUUUUGGUUGAAGAAGGGCCAUGGUUCCAUUAUAGUUGGGUGAGGUAACGGCUCACCAAGGCAACGAUGGAUAGGGGAACUGAGAGGUUUAUCCCCCACACUGGUACUGAGACACGGACCAGACUCCUACGGGAGGCAGCAGUGAGGAAUAUUGGUCAAUGGAGGCAACUCUGAACCAGCCACGUCGCGUGAAGGAAGACGGCCCUACGGGUUGUAAACUUUUUUUAUACNGNANUAAANUGAGUCANGNGAUNGNCAUNC
RNAcentral lists this ribosomal RNA (435 nucleotides) under uncultured bacterium. RNAcentral's name for it is "partial 16S ribosomal RNA". It matches the Rfam family "Bacterial small subunit ribosomal RNA", at positions 46 to 469 of the family's 1533-position model. The record is from RNAcentral.